Molecule: long non-coding RNA, 1693 nt
Organism: Egretta garzetta (little egret)
Lineage: Eukaryota; Metazoa; Chordata; Aves; Pelecaniformes; Ardeidae
Exons: 2
Source: RefSeq, a predicted model, not a curated record
CUAUGCCCUGGUACAAUGAGGCUUGGUGCUUAGCAGCAGAGGGGCAUCAUCCGGGUACCAGACUAAACCAAUAAUUUUCAGGUUUUAAGUAUGUGAUGAUGGGAGAGAAGAAAAACAUAGAAAAUUAUAAACACAGCUGAGAACUCUAGUGAGACACUGCACGAAGGAUGGUGAUACCUUUUCAUGUUUCCAUGUCUGACUCUUGCCGAAGCAACCAGGGAAAGUGUUUUUAAUCCUCUCAAUUUCCCGUAUCAUGGGUCGGCGGAGCGUUGGCUGGUAACGCGAUUAUGGCUCUUUUCCUUUUCCCAACUUAAGAGAAACUAGACAUGAAAGAGAAAGACUGAAUGAAGACCAGAAUAGUCAGUACUAAUUCAUUUUUUCCCCCAAAUGGCUGAACGCUCGCUGCACUAAUUGCUGUACGUUCAAGGCAAUCAGCAUUACUACACUGUGAAAAUGUCAGAGUUUCCGAGCCAAGGUGCUGUAUGGGCUGUUUUGCCCGAUUUCUCUCUACAUGGCCAUUUUCUGAGCACAGGGGUUUAUGCAGCUUUUAACGCAACGUUCAGCCAAACUGCUGCUUCACAACUGAUUCAGUCAGCACUUUGGCUGAUUGAUAACUCCUUUUUUGUGGGAUUGCGCUCUAUUAAAUAAUACCGAAAGGUUAGUAUAUAUCUUCAAUCCUCAUUGAUUUUCUGUUAAACGAGAGUGACUUAGCUCCUUUUAGCCCGGUUUGGUUGGAAAAAUAAAAAUUCUUCCACCGUCAACCACAAUUUCAGAUCUGUCUUCUGAACACUUCACCUGAAAAAGAGUUUUUAAACUAUGAUUUGCAUGUUAAGAUUAAAAAGAACAUCACCGAGGUGAUGGUGCUGAGCGCUUGUGCUGCCUCGCAGAAGUUGGCGGGACUGAACAGGGUUAUAUAGACUCCAUGCAAAACUUUUGGAAGUGCAGCUGAGUGCUUGCAAAUCCAGCUGAAAUAAACUGCAGCUGAGGCGAAUCGCUUUGAUAUCAGGCUUUUAACCUAAAGGUCGUUUUUAGCAAUUGCAUUAAUUUCAACAAUUCUGAAGAAAAUGGCCACAGAACAAACAGCUGAAGCAGAUAUUACUCAUUUUUGAGGCUUAAUGAAUCAACAAAAAAGGUCAGUUCUCAAUUCCAGAUGAUAAUUUUCUCCCCUUUUUAAGUAUAUUUUAUGUACUUGAAUAAAGAUGAAGGAAAUUAAAAUACGAUUGCAGGUGCCUAGCUCUGCUUGAGCUGUCUUGGCCACUGCUUUCACUUGAAGCGACACGGCUGGAUUUGAACUUGCACCCUUUAAAAACCAGGAGAGCAAAGAAAUUAAAUUAAGUUGUGCCUCUGGGGUUUGAGAUGAGUUCAGAAUGGGUUUUUUUUUUCAAAUAACACAUUAGUUCCACAGCUCUGUUAUAAAACUAAGUGACAGAUAAUGUGUUUUGAUGUUCCAACACACAGCAACCAGCUUUUGGAGACGUCUGUGCGCCGCUUUGUGCACGAGUCGUCCUCCUGAACUUAACAGGGCUAUUCACAUGCUUGACAUUAAGCGUGUAUGCAAAUCUUUGCGAGACUGGAACCUAAUGUGAUUAUAAUAAGCCAAUUCCAGUGCGAAUCUAAGAGUAUAGAGUUUCAAAACUGAGGUCAAAAUGAAAAAGUUUGCAAAAGUUGGUCAUAUUUAAAAAAAAAAAAAAAA